Long non-coding RNA from Rosa chinensis, 502 nucleotides. RefSeq lists it as uncharacterized. The transcript has 3 exons. The record is from RefSeq and is a predicted model, not a curated record. Lineage: Eukaryota; Viridiplantae; Streptophyta; Magnoliopsida; Rosales; Rosaceae.
CAUUUCAGCAUUUCUCAUUCUUUUUGUUCUAUUGAGAAUCCCCAAACAACCAAACUCAAUUCUUCCAGACUUCCAGUCUUCGAUAGUCUGACUUUGACUCUCUGCCGUUCUGCAAUUCAAUCUUGGAUUGAUGAUCUUGAAGCUGUGAAAGAUUAAAGAUGGAGAAAUUCUUUAAACGAACAUCAAACGAGUUAUCAUCACCCCUCAUAGAGAGUGAAAGAUCAAAACAGAGUUGUGUAGAAAUUGAUUUGGCUAAGCUUCCUUCCGAUCCUGGAGAAAGAACUAAGAUUUCAGAUUAUCAUCCCAAUCUUAGGGAUAAAAUUAGAAGAGAGUAUCUGCUAAGAGGUCCUUGUCAACCUAGUAAUCAUCAAUUCAUCCAAACACCGUGCGGAGAAGGGAAACGAAGGACUACGCGACUAUUUAAAUUCAGCAAUGUUACAAAUGCAGAAGACUGGCAUUACAACUAAAGUUCUAAGUUCUCACAUAACUAAAACAACAUGCG